ACCAGAUUAGACAGCUGAAAUAAUAGAGGAGGAUGACCAUUGUUUUGUGGCAUUGUACUACAGAAAUUGAUCAUAUUCGACUCUAGUACAAGUAACGGUUUAUCAGUCAUUUUGUAGACUUAGCAACAACACCAAAAGUGAUACCACCGUGUUUACAUGAACUUUAAGAGAAGAAGGGUCCUAGGAUUUUGCCAAAUACUUCAAAGACAGAGUGUCCAAGCUAUUUUUUCUCUUUGGACAAAA
This 243-nucleotide unclassified non-coding RNA is filed under the name Hevea brasiliensis (rubber tree). The record is from RNAcentral. Lineage: Eukaryota; Viridiplantae; Streptophyta; Magnoliopsida; Malpighiales; Euphorbiaceae.